Abrus precatorius (Indian licorice) is the source of this 107-nucleotide small nucleolar RNA. The record is from RefSeq and is a predicted model, not a curated record. NCBI's taxonomy places the organism in Eukaryota, Viridiplantae, Streptophyta, Magnoliopsida, Fabales, Fabaceae.
AAAUUAUAAUGAGGGCAUCUCCUCAGAUGUUCUUCAAAUAGUUCCCACACUUCAAAUAGGGAUUCAAACUCAUUUUGUUGGAAGCUAGAUAUCUUUGCCACGUGCUU